This is a long non-coding RNA of Nannospalax galili (Upper Galilee mountains blind mole rat), 622 nucleotides long. RefSeq lists it as uncharacterized. The record is from RefSeq and is a predicted model, not a curated record. Lineage: Eukaryota; Metazoa; Chordata; Mammalia; Rodentia; Spalacidae. The transcript is spliced from 5 exons.
CCUUGUUGGAGUGGCUGUCGCAUGAAUUCUUUGGAGACUUCUGGAGAAAACAGAAAGAAACUGAAACGGAAUGAAUGAAUGAAUUAAUGAGUGAAUGAAUCAGCUUUGUUAUCACCACUUCUGCAGGGGACCCUAUUGAUGUGAUUAAGAAGCUCUACCAGCACUGGAUAAAACACUCUGCCUUUAUUUUCACUUCUUCACUUUCGGCACAUAUCUGAAAAAGUACCAGAAAAAAAAUGAUCCAUCAAAAAAUAAGAAAUGGGAAGGUGAAAGUAUGUCUCUCCCUCUAAAGGAGCUGGAUGAAAACCUAUGGUAAUUGUGGCCUGGAAGUAAACAGAUAAAGAUUAACGUUACAAGAUGGGAGAUCAAAAUGAUCCAAUCAAGGUGACCCAAGAUUAACCACCACAUCUUGAUUCCAGAAAGGAGACAAAAUUGUAUUUUCUGACUUCCUUUCAAUGAGUCAGUUCAUGUGUAGAAUAUAGCAUUGUCCUCCAACUACACUACUCCACUGAAUUAAAAUCAGUUCAAAAGGUCUCUGCAGUAUCCCUUCCCUAUGCGUAAACUGUUCUUCUACAAGCUGUUUUUUUUUCUUUUCCUUCAUUUUUUCAUCACAUUGUUAAAC